Molecule: long non-coding RNA, 303 nt
Organism: Coccinella septempunctata (seven-spotted ladybird)
Lineage: Eukaryota; Metazoa; Arthropoda; Insecta; Coleoptera; Coccinellidae
Exons: 2
Source: RefSeq, a predicted model, not a curated record
GAUCUGAAAGGGACUUCAAGGAAAGAGUUGAAUCAAAUACAGUUGAGUUAGAAGUAAAAGACAGAAGUGGAGGUAAUAUAGACCUAUACUAUUCUCUUGAGUCUGAAACAGAGCAGUUUGAAGAUGCGCUCUGAUUGAUGGGUUCCUGAACUCCUGUACAUACUAAAUAAGUUUACACAAAAAUAACAAUGUUUUUAUUCAAAAAUAGAUCACGUAUCUAACAUUCGUCCACCUUUUAAGAGAUGUUUGUUCAAGUGAUGCCAGAUAUAAAAGGUAAAAGUAAAACUCUCUGUUCAAACGACA